RNAcentral lists this long non-coding RNA (28888 nucleotides) under Olea europaea (common olive). RNAcentral describes it as "long non-coding RNA (OEUR_LNC008236)". Lineage: Eukaryota; Viridiplantae; Streptophyta; Magnoliopsida; Lamiales; Oleaceae. The record is from RNAcentral.
GUCAACAUUGCAUAUCGUUCGAGUAUGAUAUUUUCUAUCAUCGAUGAAGGAAUGGGAUCUUAUCCCUCUGAAUGCGUGGAGAAAUUCAUAAAUCUGGCUCUUAAGUGCUGUCAAGACGAGACAGAUUCCCGACCUUCAAUGACAGAAGUGGUUAGAGAACUCGAGAACAUAUGGCUCAUGAUACCUGAGUCGGACACCAAGAUAUCUGAAUCCAUAGACAUUGAUCCCAAAAAGGAUAUCACUCCGCCAUCUUCAUCUAAUAAACUAACGCAUCCAUACGUUUCACAAGAUAUCUCAAGCAGUGAUCUUGUCAGUGGAGUGAUUCCCACUAUUACACCGAGGUGAUGAUACAAAUUCAGUUCACAUUUUUUGUCUAUAAACUAUACCUUUUCCAUUAGUGGUAAAUUGACAUAAUUCUAUAUAGUCAUUCUAUUUCGUUUGUAUUGUGAGCUAUUUAGUGUUUUUUAAUAAUACCCAUGUACAUACAUGAUAGCUUUUAUUUAAAUCGUUGUUAUUUUCUUGGCUUCGACACAUAAAUAGUAGCUGAUUUUGGUCUAAUAUGCCGAAGCUACAUUGCUCAAAUGUAGAAAGAUUUAAGGAUAAACAUCUAUAUAUUUUAAUUCUGGACAUGAUCAAGGCAAAUGUUACCUGGGAUAUCAGAUAGGCUGUUUAGAUAGCGUCAAGAUCCUCAAAUCCUAGAGAAGAAUUAAAAAGAAAAGGUUAAAUUCUAAACUAAUGAAUUUCUUGAAUGACAUUGCCAUACACAAAAAACUUGAUCAAUGUCUACUGUGAAGGAUUACAAAUUUUGUUGCUACUAUAGAUUUCAUAUGUGAAAUGCCUAUGUGUAUAUAGUAAAGAACUAAGUGUUUUUUGUUUCCACCGAAUGCUUGUCGUCCAGACUUCCCCUUUGAAUUACCAUUUAGCGGGGCUACUAGGACUUGGGUCUCUCUCUUGGGCGGGGCAUAAGUACAUGUAUCUUUAAUCUUCGAAUCACCAUUUAGCGGGGCUACUAGGACUUGGGUCUCUCUCUUGGGCGAGGCAUCAAGUACAUGUAUCUUUACUGAUUAACCAAUUUUUCAUUUAUCGAUCUUGGCCCAAAAAAGUGAUCGACCAGGGCCCUAUUGAUGAAUGAAAGAAAGGGUUUAUGAGCCCUCGAAUUGUUUUUUCCUGUCUAAAAGCGUCUCGCAGCGAGCAUCUUCAUAACCUUUGGCACUACUUUCAUAUGCCAUUUAUUAACAAUUAUAUCUUCGUCGAUCCUAAAAUCAUAAAGAAUUGUAAUGGUCAAUUGAAAGACAAAAAUUUGGUCAUCAUUAAAAAUUUAAAAGUCAAAAAAUGCCCUUUUAAGCACAGUCAUACAUUAUGUAAAUGGUUGAAGUUAAGAAAAUGGUUACGAAAUCAAUGAUUGAUAUAGAAAAUAAAGUAAAUUUGUGUUUGGAAUACUUAUUGGAAUUAUAAUUAUUAGCCCAGAAAGAUGAAUGAAUUUAGCCCUUGUUUGAGUUCAAUUUUCUAAUAAACUCAUCUUCAACUACACAUUCUCCCAAUAAAAUAAUUUUACACGUAACUCAUAAAAUUUUCGUUAUUUUUAAUAUAACAUUCUCCAAAAAUCACUAUUACACAACUCAUUUUUCACAAUAAAAAUGGGGCUCAAAUUUUUGGGGUGGGGAGAGGAACGUGAAAGCGCCACUUUUAUGAAAUUCGAAAGGUUUGUAAUUCCUACUUUUUAGGAUUUGGACAUUUGUCAUUUCGAGUAUGUAGGAACCAUUAAUUUAUAAUGUUGCUUGUCUUGACCCAUAUGGUAUGGUCAAAGUUCUAAAUACACAAGGCAUGAAGGUCAAGCUUUAAAUCUUACAAGUUAAGGCAUAAUAAUUGUUUUAAGUAGAUAAAUAUAUAAAUAACGCAAACUUUGAAAAUUUAUAAGAAAGCCAAUUUUUUAACAAAAACAUAAUUUCAAAAUUAUAAAUACCUUAAUCCAAUAAUGCUUCAUCAUGGACUGGGUAGGUUGAAUUUUUGUUGGACUUAUUUCAUUUUUAAGUUUUAAUAAUGGUUAAACAUUUUGCUUGUUUGAACUUUAAAAUAAGAAAAAAUAAUUUGUCAAACAAAAUGGCUCGCACCUUUUUCGCAUAAGCUCAUCUCUGGCCAUCAACGUAAAGCUGACCGUCUCUUAUUAGAAGCCAUAAAAUUCAAAUAAGUAGAACUCAGCCAUGAUGCAUGCAUUAGCAACUAGAUAUGCUUAAGCCCAUGUUUGGUUCAGAUAAAAAACUGAUUAAAAUCAAAUGGUUUUGUCAUGAGGUCCACCAUAGCGGCGUCUUCCUCAUUCCCUAUCAUGCUAUGAUAGUCAAAUUAAGCAGGUUCCAAAGAGAGAUGUAAAGAGAAUAAAGCAUGCAAGAUAUGUAUUCUCAAAAUUAUUUUCUGGAUUCUCAACAUCUUUGGUUAGGGUUCAUAGAAAUGUCAUACUCAGAAAUCAUGACAUAGAUGUCACACAAAUGGCAUCUGUAAAUGAGGAUUACAAAAUCCACAAUUUAAGAUUUGAAACCACAGGCCAAAGCUAGAAGUAGCUUUUAUUGGCUGGUAAAGACUAAACAUAUGGAGACCUUGGAUCAAUUGAGUACAAAUUGACUUCAAUAUCUGUGCUCCAUCGUCUCCUUUUCCCGGUACCACUGCACAUACCUGCAGACACAAACAAGAGAGAGAGCAACUAAUAAAGAGCUUAUUUGGGUUAUAUAAAGAUUUUGAUUUUAUCUUGAAGUUGCUUUACUUUUUGGCUUUUAGGUGACAAGUUUUAAUCUUUUUCUCGAAGCUUUUUACUUUUUCAAGUAGUUGUAGUUUUCAGUACCCAAGAAAGAGCCAAUUCCACAUAUUUUGUUGUCCAAUAAAAUUGUUGCUUAACCAUGUACAAUUGCAUGUAAAUCUAAAAACAAUCUCUCAGAUCAUCUAAAUAUUAAAUGUGAUUAAAGAAGAGAGUUAUUUAUUUAUUGGUAUAAACAUCACACUAAUCAUAUAAAUUAUAUUUUUAAUAGCCACCGCCCCAUGUGUGGAUACUGGAUAGAGUUUUUCCAUUUUUUUUUUCUCAUCAAAUACUUAGCCUGUGGACAACUUUUUAAUAAAUAUGCAGUGAAUAAACUAAAAUCCAAAGUCUUUUACUUAACUUUAGUACUAAUGUGCUAUAAUGGGAAAAUUUACGCUUAACAUGCUCAAUCAAGACAGUGACUUGUUUGAAAAUACUAAUUGCAAUAUUCAAUUGUUCAUUUGAAUUUUAGAUAAAUUGAAUUGCCUUUAUACCAUGUUAAAUGCCACGCGAUUCGUGCAACGUGAUUUUAUAUCGCAAGUGUACGGUGUCAGGUUUUAUAAUAUAAUAUUAGAAUAAGAGUGUCGAAUCACAUGGAUUGAUAUUUGAAUCCUAUCGAGUACUAUAAUUAUUUUAACUUUCACUUUAUUUAGACAAUCAAUUUUUGAAACGAUAUUUUAUUGUUAAAUUAAAAUGAAUGGGAUGAACGAUGCAAAGUUAACAAGAGCAAUUUGUAAAGUUUCUUAUCAAAUUAUGAAUGCCUGGGGAGUGAUUUCACCGUACUAUCGACAAUAUUUUUCAAUCGUUAUAAUUAUUUCUAUCAAUCUUUCCAAAAUUUAUAGGCAAGAACACUAAAUUGAUUCCAUUUCCCUCUCUCGAGCACCAAAUAGAAUCUAUUUCUAUAUUUUAAUUCCAAUAUCUCUAUUCCGAACUAACAUAUAGAAAUUAUCAAAGCACCUAGUUCUUUAAGUGGAAUUAGCCUCAAAGAUUCGCACUUUCUCUCAAAAUCUACGAAAUCUAGGUUAUGUUAUUCUUAGAUUACGUCUAAAUUUACCUCUCUUGAGUGUCAAAAUAUAAAGCAUCAAAUCAAUCAAUUAGUGGCUAGUUAAUUAAAAGCAUUGCGCAAGAACAACAUAAAUAAAUAAUCGGAAAGAUUAAUUGAAAUAAUUAUAUAGGAAUUAAAACAUGUCUAAGUAGGCUACAUCAAAUCCCUAGGAUUAAAGUCUAGUUCAUAAUAGAAUUGAUUGACAUGAUGAAAUAUACAACAAAGAACAUGGAGAAGAAGUAGGAAAUAAGAAAAACUAGUUUUGUUGCGUGGAUUUUCCCCCAAUCGUCGUCAAUUUUCUUGCAAUUGCUUUUGUUGAUCUUUGCCUUUUGAGAUUUUCUCCUAACAAUCCUCUUUUUCCCCUCUAGAAGAAAAAGCGUCGUUCUCUUCGUCCUUCUAGGUUAAGUAGUAUUAUAGAUUUUAUUUUCAUAAGAGUUUGUGUCAAAAAAAGAAUAUGUCCGAUUUUUUUUUCCGAAAAAUGCCCACGCUCGCGCUGUAUAUUUCCUUGCGUGUGCGCCGUCUAUUGAUUCUACAUUCUACUUAUGAAAUUCAACCCAUUGCGUGCGCGCGCCGUUAUGAAAUUUUUCCAUAUGUUGCACUUUGGUCCCUAUACUUCAUUCUUCGUUCCUUUUGGUCCAUAUUUGACAACUUCUCGAUCAUUCAUCUUCUAAUACCAUUUUAUUGUCUCUCGAUCUUCUUCAAUCAUUAACAUCAUGUCCGAAUCAAAUUUUGAUACUUUGCGAUUUAGUCCCCAAACUUUUGAUUAGGACCAAGUUAACAAAUUUCCCGCUCUUCUGUCCAAUUUCAUUGUUUUGCCUCGAGUUACACCUAACAAACGAAAUAUGUAUGAAGUUAAGCAUCAAUUCAUCCUAAAUAACAAAAAUUACUCUAGUUUAAUGAAUGAAAUAAGUGUAUAAAAUACAGUUAUCAAACACCCCCAAACUUGAACAAUUGUUUGUCCUCAAAUAAAAGUCAAAUCAAAUAAAUCAUUAACAUUCACAAAACACACUAAAACAUAAAAAAUUAUUUAAAAUAAAUUUCGUUAGAUAUAUUGCCUUUAUAACUCAGGAUUGAACCCAUAACAUCGACUCUAUGAAUUACUUCAAAGUUAUAAUGUACAAACUAAAAUUCUUAUAUAUUCAAUGUACAACGGGUGUGUGUGUGUAGAGAAAAGUGCAACGUUGUACAAAAAUAAAUUGAUCCAAUUCCGCAUGCUGUGGAAUUCACACACUUCCAAACUUAUUUUCUUUUCUCUUUCCCAUGGUGUAAUCUAAGGUUAAUCUUGAAUAAUAAUCUCUUACACCGCUCAAGUUUGGUUAAAUUUUACUAACUGCAGUUUCACAUGUCAACAAAUGAGGAUUCUCCUUACUUUUGACUGCUUCAACCUCUAAGAAUUAACCAAGUUACUAACCUCUUGUCAAAAUGUCAAAUCCUCUAAAAUGAGUGUUCAGGGCUUAAGUGAGGCAUUAUUUCUUUUUUUUUUUUUUUUUUAUCACCCCUUGUACAGACGUCCUUCUCUUAAGUUUUCUAUAUGAUCCCUGUAGCGAGUUUUAGGUCGAUAACUCCCAAAUCAGAUGACUUUAGGGCAUCAGAUUUUAAACCCUUACAUACUUAAUCACUUGAGUCAUAAAGGCUAUGAAGAGACGAUUCCCAAUGAGAUUAUUAAAGUUGUCUUCAUUGAAAUUUUUAUUUUAUUUUUUAUAUAUAUAUUUUUUAUUUUUAUUUUUGCAAUACUUACUGCAAUGCUCCUUAUUAAACACGCAUUCUCGAAAAUUGACCUCUAACUUAAGGUUUUCACCCAAUUUUCAUCAUAUUAGUCUCAGAUAGUCCACGCAAAAAUUGGCACACACGAAAUCCACAUUUAUCUCCAAGUUUCUCCACAACAGUGCAAUCCUCCAAACAUCCUAGAUUUGGUUUAAGAGUAUACUGAUAUUUAAUGAUCAUUUGGAUUUAACAAUCUAAGUUUUCUUGUCCAACCUAUAAAUAUGAAUCCAUCUAUUCACGCACAACGCUACAAUCAACUAACGUGCAAAAUAAUUUUCAUUUCACAUGAAUAAAUAAAAAUUUGACUCACACAUAACUUGUCCACAAUUCAUAAACCAAUGCAUGUUCUCAAUAAUAAAUGUUAUUGCUGGCAAGGCUAUCUAACUCACACAAGCAUGCAGAACAUGAAUUUUUUAUUUUUUACAAUGUACACAAUAAAAAAAGGCACACAAAAUCAAAAAUUAGGUAAUUAGACAACUUAUCAUACACUUCCCCCAAACUUAAACAGAACAUUGUCUCCAAUGUGAAAUUAAAAGAAAAGGAGGAGGAAUUUCCUGAAUUGUUUGAAUUGCCAACGACGGUUUGGUGCUCUGAUGUUGAAAUUGAUGAAUGCUUCUUCUCGUUUUAUUUUCCCAAACUUGUAAUUUAUCCAACUUCUCCUUGUUAAUGUUGGUUUGAUUAUUCUGCAAUGUCAUGUUUCUAAAACUUCAAAAUGUAGAUAUUAAACUCAUAGAAUAAGUGUUAUUUAGCUCGAACAUCAAUAACCAACUUGAUUAUUCAAAGACCUAAGGGGGACGGGUAGGGUUGAUGAAUUCCUAAAUAAGAACUUCGAAAUAAAAUAAACUAUCCUAUAAUUUAAAAGAAAUAAAAUAAAAUAGAUGAAAAGGUAAGAACGCUUGGACUGCCUCCCAAGAAUCGCUUCUUUAUAGUCACUAGCUUGACUUAACCUCAACGCCUAUAGUGGAUCCUUAGGUGGCACAUUUCUCUUGUCUUCGAAUUUUACCCUCGACUUUGUAUUCUCCUUCACUAUAAAAUGACGAACAACAUUAUGCGGUUUUGACCAAGGUAUGGCCUUCAAGACCUUUUUUGGUUUGACAAUGUUUGGAGGUUUCAAAGGCUUAUCCACAUAGCUCUCUUUUUUGUCAGGUGGGUCAGCUUCUUGGGCUAAGAUGAAAUUCACCACCUUCUUGGUUCCUGGGUCAUUACCAUGAAUACAUGCAUCCCUUACUAAGUAACUUAUUAUCAUGUCUUGCACUAAUAGAUCAUAAAAUAAUUUCCAUUUUUCUCUGUUUCCUACAAUUACUUUAGCUGAUUGGAUCAUUUUGUAAGUGUCUCAUUUUUUUGAGAUUUUCUUUUCUUGAUGGAUGUUGAAAGUUACUUGCUCUUCAUUAACCUAUAGUAUUAACUUCCCUUCUUGUACAUCAAUCAGUGCUCUUCUAGUAGCCAGGAAAGGUCGACCAAGAAUCAACUGUACUUUUCCAUCUUUCUCCAUGUCCAAUAACACACAGUCCACCGAAAAGAUGAACUUAUCAACCUUCACCAACACAUCUUCAAUGAUGCCCUUGGGAUAUGUGAUUGAUCUGUCCGCCAAUUUCAAGGUGAGGGUUAUGGGUUUUACUUCUCCAAGACCCAGCUUUUUUGAACCUUGAUAGGGGUAUCAAGUUUAUGCUAGCUCCAAAGUCACACAAUGCCGUAUCAAAUGUGAUACCACCAAUAUUGCACGGGAUGUUGAAGCUACCCGGAUCUUUCAAUUUGUGAGGGAGUUUCUUCUAAAGUAUGGCACUGCAUUCCUCUGUCAGCUUAACAAUCUCGAACUCCUCCAACUUUCUCUUCUUUGAUAUCACUUCCUUUAAGAACUUGGCAUAGUUAGGCAUUUGGGCCAAAGCUUCUACAAAGGGAAUGUUGAUGUGAAUUUUAUUAAAGACUUCCAGAAACUUUGCAAAUCUCUCAUCAAAUUCUUUCUUCAAAUACCUCUGCGAGAAUGGUAGUGGUGGCUUCAAGAUGAGUGAGUUGUCCGAAAAUGAAAUUGAGUAAGGCUUAUAUAUCUUCUUUUUUGCCUCUGCUUCAGUUUUCUGCUCUUCAGUCUGCUUUUUUCCUGCAAGUAUGAGAUCCGAUAUAGACACCGCAACCUCUCUAGGUUGCGUUCUUCAACUACUUUACCCUUCCUUAAGAUGAUAGCAUUGCAGUGUUCCCUUGGGUUGACCUUCGUAUUACUGGGAAACUUUCAUUUCUGUUGGCAUUGUAUCGCAGUUGCUAUCUGACCAAUUUGUAUCACCAAAUUCUUCACUGUGGCCCCUCAAUUUGGUCAUAUGAGUCUUAAUGUUGUCAAGUCUUACCUCAUCUUUGUUGAACCUCGAUUUGGUCUCCAAAAUAAAGGUUCCUAGAAUAUCUUCUAGUGAUGGCUUUCGUUUAGAUGCGUGAUUAUUGAACCCCUGAUAGUAGUUGUUUCCUGAGUAGUUUCCCUUUUGAUUGAAGUUCCGGUGAUUCACAUACUAAAGUUAUUCAUUCUUCUUUUCAGCUUUCUAGUAUGAAGUGGAUGUAGCUAGAAUAGAUUCUGAUUCUUUUUGCGAUCCAUGUAAAGUCAAUGCAAUUAUUUGAUUAGGACGGUAAUGGGAUUUACCUCAUAAAGGCCAACAACUUUCUUUGCACUUGAACGCUCACUUGGCCAUUGAUAGCUAUUAGUAGCUAUCUCAUCCAAUAAUGCAUAAGCUUUAUCUAGAGUCUUGGAUAAUAAUGCACCCCUUAUUGUAGAAUCUACCAAUAUUCCUGUCUGACCAUUCAAACCGUUGUAGAAGGUUUGCAUCUGCAACCAAUCCGGGUAACCAUGCUGAGGACAUCUUUUGAAUAGAUCUUUAUAUCUCUCCCAUGCCUCAUAGAACAAUUCGAAGUCUAACUGUCGGAAUUGCCCAAUUUCACCCUACAAUUGCACUGCCUUUGAAGAUAGAAAGAAUUUUGUAAGAAACUUCUGUGGUAACCCCUCCCAAGUUGUGAUGGAUCCAUACAUUGGAACCAUGCUUUGACUUUGUCUCUUAGGGAAAAGAAAAAUAGACGGAGUCGGAUUGCAUCUUCAUUAACACCAUUCAUUUCACUGCAUCACAGAUCUCCAAAAAGUACCUCAAAUGAGCAUUUGGAUCUUCUGUUGGAGCUCCCCCAAACUGAUUGGGCUACACCAUGUGUACAAGUCCUGGCUUUAGUUCAAAGUUGUUAGCAGCAAUAGCUAGGCAUGCAAUACCGGAGUAAUUUUCGUUGACAACUGGUCUGAUGUAGCCCCUUAUAGCCCGUUGUUGACCAUUCUGAUUGUUUUGAUUUGCUAUUGGUGGAUCUUGUUCUACCAUUACUUCACGAUUGUGUCUCUGAAUACCCCUUAGAAGGUGUAUUAAGUCUAGAUUUCUCGCCCUUCGUAUAAACAGCUGAAAAUAAGAAUAAAGAAGCUAUUAGAAAUAAACACAAGACAAAUAAAAUAAAUAAAUAAAUAAUGGAAAUUAAAGUUAAGACAGAAAUCCAAAUAAAAAUGAAAGCCAAUUGGUAAUAAUAUCAAUUGAAUUCAAAUGAAUCAAUCCCCGACAACGAGGCCAAAACCUUGCCACACGAUUUAUGCAACGUGAUUUUAUACUGCAAAUGUACGGUGUCAAGUAUUAUAAUAUAGUAUUAGAAUAAGAGUGUCGAAUCAACAGGGAUUGACAUUUGAAUCCUAUUUAGUACUAUAAUUAUUUUAACUUUCACUUUAUUUAGACAAUCAAUUUUUGAAACGAUAUUUUAUUGCUAAAUUAAAAUGAAUGGGGUGAAGGAUGCAAAGUUAACAAGAGCAAUUUGUAAAGUUUCUUAUCAAAUUAUGAAUGCCUAGGGAGUGAAUUCACCGUACUAUCGACAAUAUUUUUCAACCGUUAUAACUAUUUUUAUCAAUCUUUCCAAAAUUUAUAGGUAAGAACACUAAAUUGAUUACAUUUCCCUCUCUCGAGCACCAAAUAGAAUUUAUUUUAUAUUUUAAUUCCAAUAUCUCUAUUCCGAACUAACAUAUAGAAAUUAUCGAAGCACCUAGUUCUUUAAGUGGAAUUAACCUCAAAGAUUCACACUUUCUCUCAAAAUCUACGAAAUAUAGGUUAUAUUAUUCUUAAAUCACGCCUAAAUUUACUUCUCUCGAGUGUCAAAAUUUAAAGCAUCAAAUCAGUCAAUUAGUGGUCAGUUAAUUAAAAGCAUUAUGCAAAAACAACAUAAUUAAAUAAUCGGAAAGAUUAAUUGAAAUAAUUAUAUAGGAAUUAAAACAUGUCUAAGUAGGCUACAUCAAAUCCCUAGGAUUAAAGUCUAGAUCAUAAUAGAAUUGAUUGACAUGAUAAAAUACACAAUACAGAACAUAGAGAAGUAGGGAAUAAAAAAAGCUUGUUUUGUUGCAUGAAUUCUUCCCCUAAUUGUUGUCAAUUUUCUGGCAAUUGCUUUUGUUGAUUUUUGCCUCUUGAGAUUUUCUCCUAGCAAUCCUCUUUUUCUCCUCUAAAAGAAGAAGUGUCGUUCUCUUCGUCUUUCUAGGUUAAGUAGUAUUAUAGAUUUUAUUUCCAUAAGAGUUUAUGUCAAAAAAAGAAAUCUACCCGAUUUUUUUUCGAAAAAUGCCAGCGCUCGAACGCUGUAUAUUUCCUUGCGCGCGCGCGCCGUUAUGAAAUUUUUCCAUGUGUUGUACUUUGGUCCCUAUAUUUCAUUCUUCAUUCCUUUUGGUCCAUAUUUGACAUCUUAUCGAUCAUUCAUCUUCUAAAACCAUUUAAUUGCCUCUCGCUCUUCUUCAAUCAUUAGCAUCAUGUCUGAAUCUACUUUUGAUACUUUGCAAUUUAGUCCUUAAACUUUUCAUUAGGCCUAAGUUAGCAAAUUUCUCGCUCUUCUGUCCAAUUUCAUCGUUUUGCCUCGAAUUACACCUAACAAAUGAAAUAUGUAUGAAGUUAAGCAUCAAUUCAUCCUAAAUAACAAAAAUUUCUCUAGUUUAAUGAUUGAAAUAAGUGUAUAAAAUACAUUUAUCAUUAACCAACUAUUCUAGUGAACCACAUAUGUACAUUUUCAAAGUGUCUUCUCGAUAAAAAAUAAUGAAUUUGUUGUUAGUCCUUAUUCUUGGUCUUAUUCAAUCUAUUUAACUCAACGUACCAAACACGACCAACUAUAUAAUCUUCUUAACACUAAGUCUCUAUUUGGCCUUUUUUUUCCCAAAAUUCAUUUUUCCUUAAAUUCGUUUUCAAUAACACAUUUCAUUAGAUCCACGGUUUUUAUUUACCUUUUACAUUUUCUUUUUAUAAUUUUUUACCAAAAUUUAUUAGAAAUUUUUAUUUGGGCUAAACCAAAUAGUAAUAAGGCCUUGUUUGACACCAAUUAUUUGAAAAAUUAAAGAGUUUUGAAUAGUAUUUUUGGAGCAUGUGUGGUUAAAAAGUAAGAAAGUUUUAUUAAUUUUUGUGUAAAAUAUUUUAUUGUGUGAAUGCAUGAUGAAAAAUAAUACUAUAACAAAUAUAAAUUUUUAAGGGUUGUCAAACAUGGGCUUAGGGUAAGCAGUGAAUAAUUGGAGACAACCAACUACAUUAUUGAUUGGUUCAUCAGCCUUUUAAAAGUGAUAGCGAUUGAGUUAAAUUAUUUUGACUGGAGACUCAAAUGACAAAUAUCUACCGCUCAAACAAGUGGCCUAUGUUUUGCCACCUCAGCCCCUCCAAACCCGGGAUAAAUCCCGAGUUGAGACUUGCUUCAUGUACGAAGGCCAAUCUUACAGACCUUUUCCAGAAUACACACAUACUUGAGGUCCACAUAAUUUUUUUUAAAAUACAUAUAGGGCCCCUGCACAGUGAAGAAUCCUGUAAAACAUAUGUGACUAAAAUUCUAUACACUGGGCAUUAGUGUCCCAAGUUGAAUAGCAUUGUUCAAAAAUCUUGGUCCCCAGAAUUCCACGUCAUUUUUCCGUGUUGGAGUGGGCCCACUUUCCGACUUCAACAUGUUAUAGGGAUGUUAACGAGUCGAGUCGGCUUGCGAGCCAAAACUCAAGGCUUAGGUAAAAUGUGCGGGCUUUUUUCCGAGCCCGAGUAGAGCCGAGCUUUUAAAUUAGACUCGACCCUAGCUUUUGGCUCGGGCCUUUCCGAGCCAGGUAGGCUAGCUUUUUUUACCUUUUUUUUUUAUUUAAAUUAAGCAGCACCGCGCUGCCGCUUAUUAAGGCAGCCAGCAGCUAAGGCAACUUUUUGGGGUUCAAUUUUUAUUUUUUAUUUUAAUUUGAAUAAGGCCUGCGGGCUGGCUUGGGCUUGGCCUGUUCUCCCUUAAUUGAGCUCGGCCUGAGUCUUGGCUCGAUUCUACCGAGCCGGCUCGGGCUUUUUUCAGGCCGAGCCACGAAUGAUCCGAGCCGGCGAGCCGAAAUGUCAUCCCUAAUAUGUUAGGAUUUAGAAGAUUAUCCAAUAUUGUGGGCCACCACAGUAUCUGAACUUACCUAAUUAGAACUUUACACAUGGAAUUUCUAUUCAUUUCAUCCAUUCCCGUGAGAGCAACAAAUAUCUAACCAAUCAAAGAAUGUCUUUCUAAUUUUUUGGUUAAUUUUUAUUCUUAGUUUACACUCGAAGAAAAGAACCAAGCUACAUGAACCGCGGGAGUGACUGUUGGGAUGACUGGGCACACACAUGGGGGUAGAAAUUUUUUAAUUCAUGCGAGACUCACUCGUCCCAUGUGAGGGUGCAUUCAUCCCUGUGGUCAUCGUUACAGGUCGAGUGGCUUAAUUCUGAAAAAAAUAAUAAUUAUGUUGUCGUUGUCAUUGUCAAGUUGUACUGGUCCUAAUUGGUUGUUUAGUAGGGUUCUGAGUGAGUCGGAUUGAACCUCGAGCUUUUGGGGUCUGUUUAGCUUUACUCAAAAAAUAUUAAAUCUUAGCUAUGUUUGGUUUAUAUUUAUAAAUUAUUUAUAAAUAAAUAAAUAAAUUUAUUUAUAUAUUUCAAAUAAUAUCCACUUAUCUAACUCUCAUUUAUAUUUAUUUAUAAUUUAAACCAUUUAUAAACACUUUUUGCUUUUAACAAUUUGGUGUUUGGACAAAUUUAUUAAAUUGAUUAUUGAAACUAUUUAUAAUUUCAUUUUCAGCCCCUUUUUACACCCAUUAAAAUGAGUUUAUUUGGAGAAAAAUGAAUUUUAAAAUAUUGAUUUUUUGAAAAAGAGUGGUUAACAAGUAUGACAAAUGUUCUGAAUUCACAUAUAAAAUAUUAUAUUGUAUGAAUAUAUAGUUGAAAAUGAAUUUGAAAAAAAAAAUUGUUAAUAAAUAUCAAACAGGGCUUAAUGAGAUUAUUAUUAUUAUUCAAGCCACUUGAGCUUCAUCCAAGCUCCCUAACGGUAAGUUAUGGUCAAUCUAGAGUUGAGUUUUGACAGUGACGUUCAUCACAAAAUCUAUAUUUUUUAGUUACAACAACCAAAUUGGAGUUUUAGAUUCUUAGUUUAUGUUCAAUUCAAAUUUGUUCAACCUCAAACUCGUUAUAUUUUAUUCAAACUUGUUAGAGACCUAAAAUCUCGAUUUUAAGUUCAAGAUUAGGUUAGUAGGUUACUCAAAUGAUGAUGAUUGAAUGCCAAUGAUUACCACCAAGUUCCGAUGAGAUGGUUAAAAUAUGAUGCAACAAAGUCCCUGUAUGACAGCCAUUAUCCAAAAAACUCUUCUUUUCAUAUACUCAUUUUCAACCAUACAUUCAUACAAUAAAAGUUGAAAUUGAAAUAAAAGAAUAAAAGCCAUAGCUUAAUUUCAAAUUUCUCUUAAGCUCCUGUUCGGUGAAGAUUGAAAUAAGAUUUUUAGUUUUUUUUUUUUUUUUUUUUUUUUUUUUUUUUUUUAAUAAAAAUUGAUAAUGUAUGGUUGAAAAAAUUAUGGAUUCUAUAAAAUAUGUAACUAAAUUAAUUGUUAACUUUAACUUUAAUAAAAAUUUAGAUUUCAAUUUUCACCAAAUAGGGACUAAGAAGGUUUCCUUGUGAAACACAAGAGUCACAGACCUCCUAAUUCAUUUGAGAUCCUCAAGGAUUUAUUUAACCAAUUCUUGAACAUGAAUAGCGAUCUGAGAAGAUUCCCCUAUCCUCCUUUCAUAUCGAAUGAUGGUAUAUAACAUUUACAAGAACACCAAAUUAAAUAAUCACACCUAAUAUAAUCAAUUAAAUGAAUUACGAAACAUUAUAUUUGAGUGAAUUUAUUAUUUAAUUACACUCAAUUAUCAUGUAGACUACUACUCUUUCAUAUUUCAUUACAAUGGUGCUUAUAAUUGAGUUUUAAUUAAUGGCAUUCUGAUGCAAAAGCCACGAAAACAGUUCCAUCAAAUUAAAUGAUGUAAACUGGCAAGCAAAUUUUGUGGACUCAAUUUAAUAUUUAAAAUAUAUGGCUGCUGUGCUCAUCAUUAUCGCCAUCAAAAUUCCAAUGGCGACCAGGUCAACCCAAUUGUACUCCAAAACCUCUGGAUUUGUAAAAUUCAAGGCCCAUUUUUCAGACUGGAUGUGCUAUAUGCACAGACCCCUGUGCACAGGGUGUGCACAGGGUGUCUCACAUUAUUCUAUUUUCUUGGUGGCCCCUUUUGUUGUUAAGAAUGUUACUGUACUUUUUGGUAUUUUUUACGUUAGAAUAUUGGGUUGUGUAACUUAUACCUUUGUAUCCACUAUUCUUUCUUUUGUCUGUUCUUGGUUUACUCGUUUCAGCUUUUCAGAGUGGUUCCUUUGGUUUAGUUGAAAAUUUGACUUUUUCUUUAUUUGAUUUAUGUUGAUUUAAAAGGUGGGGUGACAAGUAUCAAGACAUUUGACAAUUUUGGGAAAAUGGGUGUUCUUGAGAGUUCCCAGCCAACUUUCUCUAAAACGGGAGCAAGUUUAAUUGUGUGUUUAUGCUGGUGUUUGCUGCUGCUUAUAGGAGGAGCAGAUAGCCAACUGACGCAUCCCAAUGAAGGUGAUUUGUAUUUUUUCUUUCGCCUACUUUUGAAUUGUACAGAUAUGGUAGAGGGGCUCUCCCAAACCAAAAUCGGAGGUGGUUUGGUUCCAAAAAAAUAAAUUAUGAAUCGAAAUCGAGAAUCGAUAACCGACUGGGUUUGGUUUCGAUUCCUGGCUGCUGAACCAGAACCGUGAGUAUUCUAGUGGAACCGAUUUUUAUAAAAAAAAAAUUAUUUACAAUUUAUAGGCUGAAAAAAUAUAUAAAACCUAAAAAUCCUAAUUUUGGUAGUAAUUAGUCUAAAACUCUAAAUUUUAACCCUGGAAAAUAAGAUUGGCUCUUACUUUUUUACAUCUCAUCUUACAUCAGAUUGUUGCAUUUCAUAUGUUAUUAUAUGUUAUUGUUUACAAUUUGAGUUUUAUAAAUCAAAAAUUUCAAACGAAUUGUGGCAUAAGUUGAUGAAUCAAAAAGUUAUUUCUUGCAAUUCAAGUUUUUUACUUUCUUGUGUUGUUAAUAAAUUUAAGUGGUUUUUUUUUUUCAUAAUGCAUGACAAUUUAAUUUGAUAUAUUCAUUGCUUGCGUUGCGUUAUAGAUUUUUUGUUAUCUUGAGUUCGUGAUUCUUUUUUUAAAUAUAUACUUUUUUAUUUUUUAUUCAAACGGAGCGAGUUCAAUAUGUGGACCGUAAUUUUUUGAUACUAUAUUAGUUAUAUAUUUAAUUAGUAUUUUUUAUAUCAGUUCGUUUUAAAAAUAGAAGAAUUUAAGCAUUGUUCAUAAUUAAAUUAUAUGCCUAGUAUGCCUCUGAUCAAAUAAUAUUUAUUAAGAAAAAUAAUUUUUUUUAAAUUAUAAUUUCAUUUUUUAUCUUUAUUUUAUUUUCUCCUAUCUUCGUGGCAUUUAGUAUCCAAUAUUUUGCUCCUUGAAAAUUUCUUAAUUGAAUUUUUUUCAUUGCACAAAUAUUUUCGAAUAACAGCAUAUUAGGUAUAUGUACCAAAAGGUUCUAUGUGAAAUAUUUAUUAAAUAAAUGUAUAUAAAAAUGUUAUGGGUAGAACCAAAACCUAAACCGAUGGUUCGAGGUUGGUUUGGUUCCAAUAUUUACAAAGAUCCAAAUGAUCCCAUUUGCUAAAUAUCCAAAGUAUAAUGGGUGAUUCUAGGUAUUGAAAUAUCCAAACCGACCUAAUUGAUUCCCAAGCCUAGUUUUGAGUUAGUUUGAGCAUGCUUAGGAUCAUCAAUCAUGUGUUAUAUUAUGUGUAAUUACUUAUUCCUCUGAGACGGGAAAGAUGGCACUUGAUCAUGGGAAAAUACGAUGGAGAUCAUGAUCUAUCAUUUUGUUACUAUUUUUCUCUAGUUGUAAUUCUAGGAUGUUUACUUAAAUUGGAUUUAACAAAACAAAUGAAGUUUUAAUUUUUCUUUUCUACUAUUUAGGAUGCAUUUAAUUUGCGGUUUUCAAAUUGUUUUCAAUUUUGCAAAACACCCAAACUUGUUUGAUGUGUUAUUUUUGAAAAUGCAUUUUCGAAAAUUUAUAACAUAUAAUUUUGGAAACACUAAAAAUAUGGAAAAUUAAUGUUUAUUUAAAUAAAAUUCUAAAAAUUAAAAAUCCAAAAAUAAUGAUAAUCCUAACAAAUAAAAAAAUAAAAAUUUGGAAAGAAUAGAAUCUAAAAUUCUAGAAAAAUAAUUUCUAAGAGCAUGAAAUUCUUAAAAAAAAAAAUCUGAAAAAAAUUAUAAAAACUAAAUAAUUAUUUACAUAAAAAUUCUAAAAAAAAUAUUUAAAUGAACUUAAAUAAAAAUAUUCUCAGCAAAGUCAUUACUUUUUAUUUCCUACAUAUUGCCUACUCAAUUUAUUAUUAUUUUACUUUUCUGUAGCCAAAAAAAAUAUUGUAAAAUACACAAACUUUAAUAUGUAAAUAUUACUUGAUAAUAUGUAACAUAUAAAUGUUCUAUUGUACUAAAUAAUCAAAUUUCGUGAAAUACAAUUUUUUAAAAAUUUUAACCAAAUGUGUUCUCUGCUUUUCUGCUUUGAGAAAUAGUUUUUUAAAAUAACAAAUCAAAAGCCUUUUUAAGAAUUUUAAAACAAAUCCUCAAAAGAGAAAUAUAAAAAUGAACUCAAAACUUAAAACUGAAACACAAACAAAACUGGUCCUUAACUUUUGUGGGCAAAUAAGUAAGCAUAAGAAAAUCAAGGCUUCUCAUUGUGUUUGGGCAUCCUUGAUAAUACUCCCUUCGUUCCAUUUAUAUAGGUUUAGUUUUUUUUUUUUGUUGUCUCAAGUAUAUAGUUCUGUUUCUUAAUUUAGAAUAUUUUGUCUUGUUUCUUUACUAAUAUACCCUUAUUUAAUUUGCCUAGUUACAAUCAAUUUGUUUCCACUUAAUUUGCCUCCUUCUUGAAAUCAAUUUUCAAAUUCUUUACUAAUUCCAACAAUAAUUUACUACUAGUUGUUGAAAAUUGAAUAGGGUUACAACUAGGAAAUUAAUAAUAUUAAAUAAAAUUUUUUAAUCUGUGUGAAAAACAAAACAAACCUACAUAAAUGGAACGGAGAAAGUAUAAAUUAGUGACAAGACUUAAUGCUGGUGCACUGUUGAAUUUCUAACGAAUAAAAUUGUCAUAAGGUUCAAAUUAGACAAUAAAUUGCCAUGUUAUUUUUCCCAUAACUUGGAUAUAAUAGCGGUUUCUUUGAUCAAGAACUACUCACACUCCAAACAUUGAUAAAAAUAACUAAAUUGUGCUACAAUUUUAUCACUAGUUAUGUUUAAAAUGAAAGUAGAAUGGAUUCCUAUUUAAUUCAGAAUUACACUAAAACUCAAUGACACACAUUUACUAUCAACAUGUUUUCCUUUCCGUGUUAAGAGAUAAAAAUUUCACACCGGUUAAAUACUGAAAUAUUGACCAACUUAAAAAGGUCAUUGGCUACUCUUCUUAAUAAAGUUGACCUUAUUAAGAUGGAUCUUAAUUCUUAAUAUGAUAUCAGAGCUCAUUAAGUUUCAAUAAGCGAUUCGAUCCUGUUAAGACACAAUAAAUGAGUAUACGGAUUUCAAGAUUGGUCGGCUCAAACGAGCCACCAUCUUACGGGAGCAUGUUAAGGGAUAAAAAUUUCACAUCGAUUAAAUAUCAAAAUAUUGACCAACUUAAAAAGAUUUUGUGCUACUCCUUUUAAUAAGAUUGAUCUUAUUAAGAUAGACUCCAAAUCUUAACAUUCUGUGUUAACCAAUGUCCCUCAUUUUACCUACAUUUGAAAUGCUUACCACCAUUAAUGAGGUUUUGAAAACUAAUGUAAUUGAAUAUCUAAUGAAGAUUCUUACUAUGGUACUCGGACAUGGAAUUUAAGAGUUUAAUAAUGAGAUGGUGAUGUCUUUUGAUAUAAGGUCACAGCCUAUCUUUAAUAUUUUCUGCAGUGAAUGCAUUGCGAAACAUCCAAAGAAGUUUGACAGACCCAAAUCGGAAUCUUCACAAUUGGAACAGGGGAGAUCCAUGUAAUUCAAAAUGGACAGGGGUUUAUUGCCAUGACAGGACAAUGGAUGAUGGUUAUCUUCAUGUCAAAGAAUUGUAUGAUUUUAGUCCUUCCCCCUCCUUUUUUUUACUGGAUCAUAAUUUGCAGAUAUUAAGUACGUUAAAUGUACAAUGUACUUUUAUUGCUUCCAAAUUAUUAAAAUUGUAUAACUGCGCAUUUCUGUUCUUAUCUGAUUCUGUAUCACUUGGUGUCAAAAUUCAUCUUCAUAAGUAAAAGACUAUCUUUAGGGAUACAAUUUAGUAGGCCGACUUUUUCCUUUGGGGUCGUGUUCAUGAGAUCAACAGGUUACCAUGAAUUGGUCCUGAAAAGGGAUGUUAAUGUGAUAAAAGUAACCUUUCUAUCGUCUAAAAAGUUCGAUGAAAAUAUAUAGACUUCUGUGAUAUGGGAACUGUACAUGUAAAGAAUAGUUUGUUGCGGAAGCUCUCUAUGAGAGUGCCUAGAUUUACCACAGCUGUAACACCGUCUACCACUAGACUUGUCCCGCCUUUGCCCUUCUUCUUAUUACUCUCAUCACUCGAGUCACUACUUGAAUCACUACCGUCUUGAAUUCUACUGAAAUUCAUUUGCUUGAACUUCAUCAUAUUCCUCAUCAAACGUAACUCACCACUCCUCUUAUCCUCUUUUUUAGCCUUAAUUUCCAUCUACUUACUCCUAAGUGAGUCUAAGACAAUCUCGAGUGUUAAGGUGUCCCUAUCGUACUUAAUUGCAUUUUUAACCUCUUUAUAAGAAUCGGACAUGGAAUUUGGCAGGUUAACAGCCUUAUAUGUUUUAGAGACAUUUUCAUCACAAUUAACGAUAUUUUGAACUAACUUGUUAAAGACAUCCAGAUUGUCGUCAAAAUCCUUUGAAAGAUCCAUUUUAAAGUUAAAAAAUCGUUCAAACAAGUACAAUUUAUUUAGAGCGGAUUUAAGCAAAUCUAAGUCCUCCAACUUUUUCCAAAGUUCUUUAGUAGAAUCAAGUUUUCCUAGUUUUUUCAAAACAGUAUCAGAUAGGUGUAACAUAAUUGAAGUGUACGCAAGUUCAUCAUACACUUCUUUUUGUGCUUCUAUUAAGUUUCCAGGAAAUUUGUCAUCUAUGGCUUAUGAAUUUUUUUGUUGGGCCAAAAUAUCCUUAAUCUUUUGUUGUCAAAUUGAAAAAAAUCCCUUUCCCAUUAAAAUGUUGGAGAAGCUCUCUCUAAGAAUCUUCAAAUCGAAGGUUUUUGGGGCUCAGUUCAACGUACCUUUUUCUACCAACAACCAAUUCAACCGGCUUCGAUCCACAACCAAUAUUAUUCACCUCGAUUGCUAUUCAAUCUUACCACGUAAGACAAGAAACGGUGAUGAUUUGUGGCCACGAAGAUUAGGAGAAAAUACCACAAAGGUAGGCUAUGAAGGAACAAUUAAUUACACUAAGUAAACAAGUAUUUUGGAUACUUCUAGGGGCUGUUUUUCACACACCAAAGGGGGCAGCCGAAUUUCUCUUUUUCUCACACAAAAACGACCCAAAUCAUACUAGAAAGUGAUUAGGGUUAUAGCCUUAUAUAUACUCUAGGGUUAGGUUUUAAGUUGGACGUCUAAGAAACUUAAACAGGUCAAGAUUCAAGUCAUUCAAGAGGGAAUACAAUUGGGACAGGUGGAGCUCGUGGACUUGAUUGUUGGACUUGUUUCAUUCGUCGGCCUAUGCCUGUGAAAUAAUAAACCCACGUUAACAUCAUAGCAUGUGAUUUAUUAGGUAUCAGAAAAACCCAACACAGUUCAAAUUUACCUGAGUGAGAUUCCAAGGAAGAUGCUUAAUAGUUUUAGAUUGUGGAUAUGCCAGACUUUCUUUGGAAACAUUUUACAAAAUCUGUAUGUUGCUAACCGUAUAAUUAGUAACUGAGCAAUACUGUCUUCCUUUUUGUUUUCACCAACAGGUUCCUACUAAAUAGGAAUCUAUCAGGAAGCUUAUCUCCACAACUUGGACAGUUAUCUUAUUUGGAGAUACUGUAAGUUAGAUAUUUAAUACACACCUCUUUUUUAUUUGUGCUUAUUUAUUUUCCUCAGAAUGUUACCUCCAAAAUUUUCUCUACCUAUCUGUGUUGCCUUCCCUUUUAAAUUAAUUAUUUUUUAUUGUUCUCAGAGGGACUUUAUGUGGAACAAAAUUACUGGGAGUAUACCUAAGGAGAUAGGCAACAUUACGACGUUACAAUUGUUGUAAGUUGAAGCAGUUCUUUACUCGAUUAUCCUUUUCACAGUUCCUUUCUCUUCUACUUUGCUUAAUUUUUGACUAAAUGCUCAUUGAAGUAGGGGAAACCUUAUAAAUCCUCCUAAGCAUUCCAUUAUAUUAUUUGCUAAUUCUCGACAGAGGCUUCACCAUGAUCUGAACCAUUAUGUUUUUACUUGUGCUUUCCUUUCUUUGGUUCCAGGCUUCUGAAUGGAAAUCAAUUGACAGGUUCCUUGCCCGAUGAGAUUGGUUUUCUUCCUAUUUUGAACAGGAUACAAAUUGACGAGAACAAAAUAUCUGGAUCUAUACCCACAUCAUUUGCUAACUUAAGCAAUGCAAAGCACUUGUAAACAUUCUUCAUUAUUUCUAGGCAUUUCUGUUUCUUCUUUUUUUUUUUUUUUUUAAAGAAACUGUUUCCGAGGUAUAGGGACCUAUUCUGUUGCUGCCUCUUCGACGUUGUUAAUGCAUUUCCUUCUAAUUGUUCUUACUUGAACAGCCACAUGAACAAUAAUUCACUUAGUGGGCAAAUACCACCACAGUUGUCCAGACUUCCAGAGCUUGUUCACUUGUGAGUUAAAGAUAUGAAACCUUUAAACCUUACCCUGCUUCUUGAACAUCUGAUUUCAGUUGAUAAACUGAAACCUUGCAGGAUACUUGACAAUAACAACUUAUCGGGAUCUCUUCCGCCAGAGCUUUCUGAAAUGCCAAAAUUGCAGAUACUGUAUGCAUUCUUUCUUUAUUAGAUGUAUUACUUUGGUUAUUCCAUAAUGCAGGGAUUUUUCUGUAUCAGCCAGCAUGUUUUAGAAUUUUUUUUUUUUUUUUUUUAAUGCUUGCCUUAUUAAUUUGCUAUUGAUCAAUGCUAUGAGUUUAGAACUAAAAGCAACUCCAUUUUUCUUAGCAAAUGAAAAACCUUUGAAUCCGAAAUGAACCUCUAAACGAAGUCUGAAGUGGAAAAAAAAUGAAUGGUAGUAUGUGUUUGAAGUCUUAAAUAGCUAUUAAUAAGUAGUAUAUCACUCUUGAAGACUUCACUGGAAUCAUAAUAGAACCUAUCGGAGCCAUGACUUUGUGUCUGUCCAGCGGGUAUCUUAUUUCAUCCUAGUUUUGCAUUCAUUAUCAUCUUUUAAUUUCAGUUUAUUUUACAGUCUAAAAUUAAUCAGCUUUGACCAUCCAUUUGCAAGUGAUAAAAAAUUGAACAUUCAAAUCUGAUUGAAACAAAUUCAAUCACUGUGAUAAUUAGACACAUUAUGGUUGGAAAAAAUGACAUUCUCUUACAACUCAUUGAAACAAAUUCAAUCGUUGUGAUGGUUAGGUAUUACUUUUUCUUACUUUAUCUCUACUUAGCUACAUGUUCUAUUUCUUUGUUUUUCAGUCAACUAGAUAAUAACAACUUUGCUGGGAGUGAAAUACCUUCUGCGUAUAGCAACAUGUCUCGUCUGUUGAAAAUGUAAGUGCAUAAAAUCUUCAUUUCUGCUCUAAAAUAUGGUUUGUGGUUUCUAUUCUAAGUUAAAUUAUGCAUGAUAUAUAGCCCAAAGUCGCUGCACUUUUAUCUCUAAAACGUGGAUAUCUACUUCGCUUGAAACUGUUUAAUUUUUACUGGAAGUUUUGUCGUUUUAAUCAAAGAUAGACCCGUCCAUUAGAACUAGGUAAACAUGCUACAAUUUAUUCGAGCUAGAUAGGUGACAAUUUGUUAUUUUGUUGGACUAUUUCAGGAGUCUAAGAAACUGCAGUUUGCAAGGGCCAAUCCCUAACUGGAGCAAUAUGCCUUCUAUUGCAUAUAUGUAAGUCACUAUGCACAAGUUUUACUAAUCACUAUAGACACAUCUUUAUGGUGCCAAGGUCCAUUUCGUUGUUUUAAGUGGCAUGUACUUAGCAGAGGUGAAUACUAAAUGGUGCAGAAGAAGUAUUUAUCUGAUUUACUGAUAAUUUUCUGGUCAUUGAGUUUUGAGUUGGUACACUUGUUAAUUGGGGUUCUAAUAUUGAUCAUGCUCUCACUUCAGAGAUUUGAGCCUAAACCAGCUUAAUGGAUCGAUACCAGCAGGUGGCCUUUCUGAGAAUAUCACUACCAUGUAAGCACUCAAUUUCUGAUUGCUUUGCUAAUUUUUGUGUAUUACCUCAAAACCCCGUUUAUAAUUUUGCUUAAAAAGGGAUUACGUUUCCACAUUUUGUAAUGAAUACUUCGAAUUCUAAUUAUGCAGUGAUCUAUCCUACAACAAUCUCAAUGGAACUAUCCCUGACAGCUUCUCGAGGCUUCCUUCUCUACAGAAAUUGUGAGCAUUAUUUAAUUGUAUGCUAUGGAAAUGAUCGUGUCUAAGUUUAAGUUCUCUUGCUUCCCAGUUAACUUUCACUUGUCCACUUAUUGUCCAAGAUUUAGCUCUCUCGUUUCUUACCUUACAAAAUAUUUGUUGAGUAAAGUAUAUUUUAUUCUGCAUCAUUCUUCAGGGCGCUGACAAACAAUUCACUGAGUGGUUCUGUCCCAUCCACCAUAUGGCAAAGCAGGACUCUUAAUGAAUUCGAGCGACUAUCCUUGUAAGAUUGAUAUGGGAAAGAAAAUCCUCUCCAUCCCCCUCUCUCCUCCUGGGGAAAAGAAUAUGCUAGUUCUUGUAAAACUGUUCUUGCACAUGAGUUUUUGAGUCUAUUAUCAGACACUGGAUCAGGCUAAAACAAAUUGAAUACCAGUUUCAAUAUUUUUAUUGGACUCAGAAAACUUUAUGUCCUAAUAAGAACAGACUGAAAAUUUUCUUAUCUAUUGAUAAAUUUGUGCUCUUACACAUUUUUAUAUGGCAGGAAUUUUCAGAACAAUACGAUUUCAUAUAUAUCUGGCAGUCUUGCCCUCCCUCAUAAUGUCACCAUUAGGUUUGUCCUUUCUCAUCGCUUUCAUCUGCAAUGACAUUUUCCUGUUCUAAAAUAAAAAAAGGAAUGGCUAUUUGCAUCCACAUUUUUUUUUAAGUAUAUCCCAUUCUAAGUUUAUUUCUAAUAAAUUUUUAAAAAAAAAUACUAUUUACAUCCACGUCACAUUCCAAUUUGGUCGUUAUUAAAUUCAUUCAUUUAAAUACUAUAUAUCCACUUGAAUUUUAUAUAUUUAUCCCAUUUUAAAUACAUUCUUAUCACUAUAGAUUCGCCCAAUCUCCAAAACCAUAAAUUCUUAAACCAAAUGAAUGAAAUAAGAAUAAAGCUGAACUGAUUGAAUAUUAAAUUAACAUGAAAUAAAUUCUGUCUAUUGAAGUUUUGAGUAUUAGAAUGCUUCAAUAAACAAAGGCUAAAGAAAGAAAGAAGAUGGUUCGAUUAAGCAAGCUGAAUUUUACUAACUUUAUUGGUUACAAUUAUUCCUCUUUCUUGAUUAACUUAUAAAACUGCAUCAUAUUCUGUUUUGUAUUCUUUGAAAUUCGAUAUGAUUACCGGCACAGAAAUUAUAUUUAGGUUCUCUAUCUAUUAUGAUUCUAGUUAAGUAUAAAUGAAAAUAAAAACUAGUGGAUCAAUUUAGAGUUAUGUAUUUUUAUUUAAUUUUGUUUACGUCUAUUUAAAUAAAUUUACAUAGGAUUUAAAAUAUAACAAAAUUUAAUUUUUAAAAGUGAAUAUAUAUAUGAAAAAUGUGGAUGGAAAUAGUGGUACCCAAUAAAAAAUUGUCCAGAUAAAAAUAAAAAUCCAAGUUGUAUUGUCCCAGCAAUAACGGGUGAUGUAAUUUUCUCGUUUGGCCUAUGUUAUUUAUAUGACAAUUUCAGUCUUCGCGGAAAUCCCGUAUGCUUAAGGGGCGACCUUGUUCGAUUCUGUGGACCCCAAGACGAAGGUUUCGGCAAUAUCUUCAAAAAAACAAAUGGCUGUGUGCGUGUGGCGUCAUGCCGACCUCCUUAUGAGUUAGUUCCACCAUCUCAUGAUUCACCUUGUUUUUGUGCUAUGCCGAUGCGGGUAGGAUGUCGCUUGAAGAGUCCCGGGUUUUCAGAUUUUCGCCCGUACAUUAGUAGAUUCGAGAAGCACCAUAGUGAUGGUCUGGAAUUGCAUAGUUAUCAGCUCGUCGUUGAUUCGGCUGAAUGGCAAGUGGGACAUCGACUGAAUAUGAACCUGAAGAUUUUUCCGGCGUUUGUUAGCACCUCAAAAUCAAAAUCUAUAUUUAAUGAUAGCGAGUUUGGACGAAUUCGUAGCUUCUUUAGUGGAUGGAAAAUUCAUUAUAGCGAAGUGUUUGGACCUCUUGAGCUUCUCUCACUUCCGGAUCCUGGUUCGGUUCCUUUCUCAUUUGCAUGUUUACUUUUGAAUUAUUUUAAUCAUGGUAAUUGCUUUUUCUUCGUUGGAAGAAAGGGCUUACAUCUUCUAAAAUAGAAUUUUCCAAAAGGAGUUUUUAAGGGAAGAUCGUAUCCUGCUAAGCUAGUUGCAAUGAAAAAAAAUGCUCUCUUUGUUGAUGCUCAUGGGCCAAAGAAAGAAAAUUAUCAUGGUGAAUUUGGAGAACCUGUGUUGUGCUUGUUGUUCACACAAAAUGGUAAUGACUCCUCUGCCACUGUAACUGGUUGAAAACCAGAAAAUCAGACACUAACGAAGUUGUGUUCAAAUUUUAACUGGUUAAAGCUUUGACCUAUGAUUUAUUCAAAUUUCAAGAGAGUAUUACUUUUGGGUUGAAAACAAGGCAUUUGACUCGUAUACCUAUUACAUAUUCUUUGAAGCAUGAUUAUUAUGUUUUUGUUCAUACUUGGGUAGGACCUUGUGUACUUUCGUCAUUGGUAUGGAUCCCUUAACUACGAAGCAUUUUUAAUCUGCACAACGUAAGCUCAUUUGGCAAUUACCUAUCUGUAGGCUAACAUUGUUCUAAAUAGUAAUGGAAGUCAAAUUUACCUUUGCAUAAACUCAUUUUCGAUAUGCUCUUAACUCUUGGCUUUUUGCAGAAUCCCCAUCUUCGUCUGGCAUAAGCAAGGGGGCACUAGCUGGAAUCAUACUAGGAACAAUAGCUGGAUCAGUUACCUUAACAGCUGUCGUGGCACUUUUCAUCUUCAAAAAGCACAUGAAGAAAUAUCAUACAGCUUCAAAACAACGUCGACGUGAGUAUUUUACACUUCCUGAAGUAUUAUUGUGGAAUUGGCUUACAAAGAAUCCACAUCUUAAUUUAAAUUACUGAAUUUGAUAUUGAGGUGGGCAAAACUCUUUCCCCAAUUUAUUAAGGAACUUUUAUUUUGAAACCAAUUUUAUUGAAGUGAAAGAAAAAUUUCAUUUCCCCGGAAAAAGAAAAAAAAUAAAAAUAAAAACAUUUCAUUGGGGUAUAGCUCAAUUUUUUGCACUUCCGUCUACAUGUUUUUAUAUAUGCUCGACCAUUCAAUUGAUGUUCAUUUUCUACAGAAUGCAUAAAAAGAAUUGGAAUGAAGUAUUACUGUGGAAUUGGCUUACAAAGAAUCCACUUCUUAGUUUAAAUUACUGAAUUUGAUAUUAAAUUGAUUGCCCAUCCAUAAUGUCGUAUAAGUUAAGGUUUUGUAAGAUGAGCAGCAUGUAGUGUUUAUCACCAGCUGAUUGAGGACUAUAAUUUUCAGUAAAUUAUUACUGGAGUUGAGUGUAAACCUAAAAGUUGACAGCUUUCAAAAUAUAUUCUCCAUUUUUCUAAAGAUUUGACUUUCCUUUGGAGUCAGAAAUCAUUGCUAGAGUUGUUAAUGUGUUAACCACACAAAAGAACUACAUUAAAAUUUACACUGUAUUUAUAGGAGUAAUCAAGAACUAUGGCAUGACAUUUAGCUCUAAAAACAAGGUACACUGCAGAGGAUUGCAAUAAAUGAAGUAAAAGAAACGUAAAAAAGGACCAAAUUCAUUAAUUCUUGAUUCAUCGAUGUUAAAGAUUUUAAGUAAUAUACACACAUAUAUAUACAUGUUUGAUGACCUAAAGAAGGAGAAUAUUUAUUCAACUGUUUGAAUAUCUAAUUGCAUUGUAUGCAGCAUCAAGGAUCUUCAUCAAAAUCGAUGGUGUGAAAGAUUUCACUUAUGGUGAAAUGGCACAGGCAACCGAUAAUUUUGCAGACUCGAGUGUCGUUGGACAAGGAGGUUAUGGAAAAGUUUACAAAGCUAUUCUUGCUGAUGGAACCGUGGUGGCCAUAAAACGAGCUCAGGUGGGAUCAUUACAGGGUGAAAAGGAGUUUCUUACUGAAACAGAACUAUUGUCGAGGUUACAUCACAGAAACCUCGUGCAAUUGAUGGGAUAUUGUGAUGAAGAAGGUGAACAGGUACCCAAAUAAGAUAUUUAGUUUAUCUACAGUUGGUCAAAGUGAACUUCACAUGUUAAAUUGGAGUUCCAAGUGUACAGUUCAGUGAUUCGAUUUUUGAUUUCUAGAUAAGAUCAUUCACUUAAAAAUAUGCCUGUUUGGGUUUGGAUUGGAGGUCUUGGCAUACCUUCUUUCUCUUUAUAAAUUUUAAGCUGUGUCUUGAUCCUGCUUUAUAUAAUAUCAGCUUGGAUAAAUAACUUAGCUCAAGAUGAAUCUAUUAUAAAGGUAGAUGCUUGAUUACAUGAUUAGGUGGUAGAGCAUGUUUAGCUAAGCUUAAAAGGUUUACUUAUAACUAACUAGGUUUUAAAAUAACUUAGUUUUAUUGGUUACAAGUUGGAAUUAAGUAAAUUAUUAUUUUUGAGGUUAGUUAACUGAUGUUUAAAGCAGCCGCAGUGCUGACAUUAACAGAGAGGGGAAAGAUAGAGUAGCUAAUAAAGAUCGAAAGAUUUCUUCCGCUCCCUAUAAGAAACAAACUGAUAAAAAUAAGGGUUUAUUGUAGGAAAAUCAUGUGAUUGGAUCACAAUACAAAGUAUUGACAUUUCAUUUCAAAAGGCUAAAUUUUUAAAUAGUUUUUCUCUCCUCCAUCUUAUGUUUACUGUGCUUUUCAUUAUGCAGAUGUUGAUCUAUGAGUUCAUAUCUAAUGGUACCUUGAGAGAUCACAUACCUGGUAAAGUGUUCUUUUUCAAAUUGACCUUUUGUGUUUAUUUCUCAAAUUCAUGGUCUCUUAGUCUGUCCUUUUGUUGCUUACGAGACUGCAAACCUCUAUACUUCUUCAGACUAGAUCACACACACACUUUAAAUAACAUGUAAAUUGGGUAAUGUGCGACUUACAAUUUUGUUUUCUUGUUUCUGUCCUUCAAGCCCACAUAAUCGUCGUACUGUAAUUUAACCCAACUUUUCGUUUCAGGAUUACAUUUUGAUUCCAAAAACGUUCUUAAGCACGUGUUCCUCAAGUUCUUAACGAGUCAUUUAAGUAUUCUAGCGAGUUCAGAAGUAGAAAAGUAACAGAAAAAUUUUACUGAUUUAACAAGACUUCAAUGUUUGAGAUAUGCAGGAAAGACCAAAUUGCCUUUGAGUUUCACUAUGAGAGUAAAAAUUGCACUGGAUUCAGCCAAAGGCAUUCUUUACCUACAUACGGAAGCAAAUCCUCCAAUAUUUCAUCGGGAUAUCAAGUCAACCAACAUAUUAUUGGACCCUAAGUUUAUCGCAAAGGUUGCUGAUUUUUGACUGUCACGGUUAGCUCCAGUUCCUGAGCUUGAAGGAGGCGUCCUUCUUAUGUAUCAACAGUAUAUUUAUUCGAAAAUGCAGCAUCCAGUUGUUAUUUCCUUAUUUUCGUUUUCCAAUUGCAAUAUUGUGAUGAACAAAAUGAAUUCACGCGUCAUUCAAAAAUGUGGAUGCUUUAUCACUGCAGGGAUAUCUUGAUCCAGAGUAUUUUUUAUCGCACAAAUUGAUGGACAAAAGUGAUGUUUACAGCCUUGGUGUUGUCUUUCUCGAAUUGUUGACAGGGAUGCACCCAAUUUCACAUGGGAAAAACAUUGUUCGGGGGGUGAUAUAUUAUUGCAAUCCAUUUUUCUCUUAGUUCACUAGAAUAAAGAACAUCAGAAAUAUAAAUUUGUCAGUUGUACUAGUUACUAGUUUAUAAGUGUUAUAUGCUUUCUCAUUGUUGUUCUCUUUAAUGUUUUAAAACCCAGCUUGGAAACUUGGAAGAGGUAAAGAGUCGAGGGUUAAAGAGUUUAAUGGCUAUCAAAUUGGAUGUCAUUCACAAUUAAUUAACGUUUUAUGAUGUUUAAUGGCAAUCAAAUAUGAUGUCAGUAGUUAAUUUUCAACAAUAUGAAAACAAAACCAAAUAUUAAGGUUUUAUGAUGUCAAUGUUCAUAACAUAGCAUGAUUUAUUUCAAUGUCCGUCCUACAAAAUAUUCGUUUUUCCCGCAAAAUAAAAAUAAGAAAUAAAAAAUUGCUGCUAAAAGUUUCAUGCUUAAUAUUUGUCCUAUCUGUGCAGGUCAACAUUGCAUAUCGUUCGAGUAUUAUAUUUUCUAUCAUCGAUGAAGGAAUGGGAUCUUAUCCCUCCGAAUGCGUGGAGAAAUUCAUAAAUUUGGCUCUUAAGUACUGUCAAGACGAGAUAGAUUCCCAACCUUCAAUGGCAGAAGUGGUUAGAGAACUCGAGAACAUAUGGCUCAUGAUUCCUGAGUCGGACACCAAGAUAUCUGAAUCCAUAGACAUUGAUCCCAAAAAGGAUAUCACUCCGCCAUCUUCAUCUAAUAAACUAAUUCAUCCAUACGUUUCACAAGAUAUCUCAAGCAGUGAUCUUGUCAGUGGAGUUAUUCCCACAAUUACACCGAGGUGAUGAUACAAAUUCAGUUCACAUUUUUUGUCGAUAAACUAUACCUUUUCCAUUAGUGGUAAAUUGACAUAAUUCUUUAGUCAUUCUAUAUCGUUUGUAUUGUGAGCUAUUUAGUGUUUUUUAGUAAUACCUAUGUACGUACAUGAUAGCUUGGAUUUAAAUCGUUGUUAUUUUCUUGGCUUCGAC